GUGCACGCUCUGUUAACACAUCCACUCACACCCUGUGCACCCUCUGUAGUUCUGUGGUUGGGGGACCCAUCCUCCUGCUGUGGUUCUGCAUCUUUACACACACACACUGUAACAAAGUCUCAUGGAAUGCAUCUGCGUUUAACGCAAUACAAUACAACUUUCAGCAACGGAUCUCUUGGCUCUCGCAUCGAUGAAGAACGCAGCGAAAUGCGAUAAGUAAUGUGAAUUGCAGAAUUCAGUGAAUCAUCGAAUCUUUGAACGCACCUUGCGCCCUUUGGCCAUUCCGAAGGGCAUGCCUGUUUGAGUAUCAUGAACACCUCAACUCUUCAUGGUUUUCCGUGAUGAGCUUGGACUUUGGGGGUUUUGCUGGCCUACGGUCGGCUCCUCUAAAAUGAAUCAGCUUGCCAGUGUUUGGUGGGCAUCACAGGUGUGAUAACUAUCUACGCUUGUGGUUUUCCCACCAGGUAACCUUCAGCAGUGGAGGUUCGCUGGAGCUCACAGAUGUCUCUCCUCAGUGAGGACAGCCCUUUGAAUGUUUGAUCUCAAAUCANNUAGGACUACCCGCUGAACUUAAGCAUAUCAAUAAGCGGANGAA
RNAcentral lists this ribosomal RNA (595 nucleotides) under uncultured Tomentella. Its description in RNAcentral is "eukaryotic LSU rRNA". The stretch from base 156 to 310 matches the Rfam family "5.8S ribosomal RNA". The record is from RNAcentral. Lineage: Eukaryota; Fungi; Basidiomycota; Agaricomycetes; Thelephorales; Thelephoraceae.